UCAGCAGGAACGCUGAGCCUCAGUUAAAAAUAACUCCCUUGGGACGCCAUAGCAACAUUGUGAGUCGCUGGGAACUCGCCUAAUCAGACCUCUGCAAACAGGCAGGUCUGCGGACGCCAUAGCAACGGCCUGAGUCGCGCAGAACGCGCCGAAUCAGAACGCGCCGAAUCAGCCCACGCCCCAGCAGCAAUCCACGGGACCCCCCCCCCCCACACACACCCUCCACUGUACAGCCAUCUGGUUCCACACUACAAAGACGCAGAGGACACCGGACCACCAGACCACUGUACUGGACACAGAUUUAUAUGAAUAUGGAUCUGGCAGGCUGACAUUGCAGAUCGACAGAGAUGGGAGGAAUCAUCCCCUAAAUGCUGCUGAGAUAACCAGAUCCACAUAUUGAAGAAAGGAUCCUUAACAGACCCCAUGCACAGCAAUCAUUUCCAUAUGAACCAAGGACUGAACUAUAACAGAUAAAACUUUGAAAGUUUUAGGAGAAUACACAGACAUCUUUAUGAUUUCAGGAAGAUAGAAUUUCCUAAACAAGACAAUAGGAGCCCAAGCCAAAGGCAAACCUUCAACUUGACUAAAAGCAAAAACAUCUUUUGUUAAGAGACAUGAUAAAGAAUGUAGAACUUUGUGCCAUAAACCAGGAGAAGACGAAAAUAUGCCUUCAGUGUAUAACCAGUCAACAUGAUAAUAACAAACAAAUACAGAAAAGGAG
This 721-nucleotide long non-coding RNA is filed under the name Heterocephalus glaber (naked mole-rat). RNAcentral's name for it is "lncRNA (ENSHGLG00000032770.1)". Lineage: Eukaryota; Metazoa; Chordata; Mammalia; Rodentia; Bathyergidae. The record is from RNAcentral.